Molecule: non-coding RNA, 2611 nt
Organism: Punica granatum (pomegranate)
Lineage: Eukaryota; Viridiplantae; Streptophyta; Magnoliopsida; Myrtales; Lythraceae
Source: RefSeq, a predicted model, not a curated record
AGCCUCUCAGGUGUCUAUCCACGAAACGAUUUGAGGUCUGAAAGUGAACAGUUAAUAGUUUGAGGAAAAUCCCCCCGUUGUCUGGUUUUGCCGUCAUUUCACCAAAAAGUCAAAAGACUGCUCUCUUCAUUUGCUUAUUACUCUCCUCCUCCAAUUAUCACUGAUCCCAACCAAUUCCAUUCCCACCAAAGAUUAUGAAGAAAAGAAAAAAUUCUUUAUGGUUGGUGCCCGAAACAGAUUGAAUCCUCAGAGCCUGUCCAAUUCCUUGUCGUGGGAUUCCAGCAAGUUGCUUUGUGGGUCAUGCUUUCUUCUUCUUCUUCUGAACUCUGUUUUGCUCCUUCAGUUUCACUGUCCAGGUGAUUUUUGGUGACUGGAGAUCGUGCUCAUGCCGCACUUGCAGAGGUCAGCAGCCUGAAUUCUGUUUGUAAGUUAUAAAUAUGGAGCCUCCGCGGGGGGUUCUUGCUUCGAUAUGGAACUUCGUGUGCUUUCUUCCUUACUUCGUCGGGCUCCUGUUGCUUGGCAAUAUUAAAGGUAUACUAUUCUGUCCUUUGAUUUGCUUGAUCAUAACAAUCGGCAACUCUGCGAUCUCACUGGGACUGUGGCCAAUUCACUUCUUCUGGACAUAUUACUCUGUUCUAAGAGCUAAAAGAAUAGGCCCCGUCUUGAAGCUGAUCCUCUUCAUUUGCCUUCCCGCGCCCUUGAUCUUAUGGCCUGUGGUUGCUAUUGUUGGAAGCGUAGUGGGUGGAAUAUUGUAUGGCUUUCUUUCGCCAAUAUUUGCCACUUUCGAUGCUGUUGGAGAAGGAAAGACGAAUGAAAUUUUCCACUGCUUUUAUGAUGGGACAUGGAGCACGAUCCAAGGGAGCUUUACAGUUGUUCGGGACUUCAUGGAUGUUUCCCUUCAUUCCUACCUCUCAAUCAUGGAUGAUCUUCGUCAACAAGAGCUUGAAGAUGGGAAAUAUUAUGAAAUUAGAUUGUUACAUCUUCCAGGGGCUGUUGUCGCAGGAGUACUAGGUUUCAUGAUCGAUAUGCCUAUGAUCACACUGAUUGCCCUAUACAAGAGCCCUUACAUGCUCUUUAGGGGCUGGCACCGGCUAUUUCAGGACCUCAUUGGUCGCGAGGGCCCGUUCUUGGAGACAAUUUGUGUCCCAUUCGCUGGUCUCGCCAUUAUACUUUGGCCGCUAGCUGUAGUUGGAGCAGUUAUGGGAUCAGUUGUUUCAAGUAUCUUUCUCGGUGCAUAUGCAGGAGUCGUCGUCUAUCAGGAGUCCUCUUUCUGGUUUGGGAUUUGCUAUAUCCUCGCAUCAUUGUCACUCUAUGAUGAAUACGGCAAUGACAUCCUUGACAUGCCGGACUGGUCCUGCUUUCCUAGGCCACGGUAUAGGAGGAACAUUGUGCUGUCGCGGACAAGUUCCCGAGCAAGUGGUAUCUCAAGGCCUGGCUCUUUCAGAAACCCUCCCUCUCGUGUUGGCUCGGUGAAGAAUCCCAUUAUUGAGUUGAAGCCACUUGAGCUACUCGACCACGUCUUUGAUGAGGCCAAACGCUUUGGUGAAAGCUUGGUAUCUGAAGGACUAAUAACACCGCAAGACAUCGAGGACACGAGAUCCACUAAAGGCGGUGGAGUCGUGAGCAUAGGCUUACCUGCUUAUUCACUUUAUCAAGCCCUUCUACGCUCUGCUAAAGCCAACUCCUCUGGCAUCUUGUUAGUAGGUGAAGCAAGAAAAUUUGCGGAUGAAGGUGAUGAUUCAACGGAGCUGACUAGCACAAACAGACCGAAGGAUGUGUUUUUUGACUGGUUCUUGAAUCCUCUUCUGAUUAUCAAAGACCAGAUCAAAGCAGAGAAUCUUUCUGCUACGGAAGAGGACUACCUCGGAAAGCUUGUCUUAUUAAGCGGCGAUCCUGUAAGGUUGAAAAGUCCAUUGAUGGGCCCACCUCCUGAAUCUGAGCGCAAAAGGGCUGAACUUGAUGCAUUAGCUCGUAGGCUUCAAGGAAUCACCAAGUCGAUAUCGAGGUACCCGACAUUUCGCAGGCGUUUCGAUAGCCUUGUGGAGGUGUUACUGGAAGAUCUGGCAAAAAAGAAUAGUGUAAGCAGACCAACAAGCGAGAGUCAGAGGCUUUCGAAAUCAAGGAGCAUCUUUCGUCGGGUGUUCAGUCAGAGAUCGUUCAGAGGCAGAGCAACCAAUCCUGGGUGCGAUCAAGAGCAGCAGCAGUCUGUCGAUGGAAAUAUUGAGAACGUAUAGUUGCAGCACAGCAAGUAAAAUUUGUUCGUUUUUUGCUCGGUAUAUAGUAAGCAGAUGGAGACCGAAAAUCGUCCGGAGCCGAAUAUGAAUCCCUUCCGACAGUCUGUCUGGUAUAUCAUGAGCACUGGGAACCGAAUGAAAUAAAGAUGAUUAUAUUCCGUCUUCCAUUGCAGCAGACUAUAUGAGGCAUCAGAGUUCACAGAAGAUUAAUAACCGAAGAUCUCUAGCCUCAAAAGCUCUUCACUACAUCCUCAGUCUCAGUAUCCUUGAACAUAGUAUUCAUCUGCUGAACUUAUCGAAUAUGUUAUGACUCAGAAUCUGAAGAUACUAUACAAAGAUGAAACUGUACAUAUAAGGAAUAGUUCUUCUUCCCUUCA